Molecule: non-coding RNA, 164 nt
Filed under: bovine gut metagenome
Source: RNAcentral
AGUGCUGCCGCAUGGGGCAGAGAAUAGGGAAACGGGUGCGAUUCCCGUACGGUACCGCCGCUGUGAGCAUCGAGGGGCGCGUCCAUGCGAAAGCAAGCCACUGGGAGACCGGGAAGGCAGACGCGAAACCGUUUGAGAUGCCAGUCAGAAGAACUGCUUGAGCU